CUUGAUCAUCAAGGUUUCAUCU
Molecule: small nuclear RNA, 22 nt
Filed under: Arabidopsis thaliana (thale cress)
Lineage: Eukaryota; Viridiplantae; Streptophyta; Magnoliopsida; Brassicales; Brassicaceae
Description: snRNA_17273
Source: RNAcentral